This 318-nucleotide ribosomal RNA is filed under the name uncultured cyanobacterium. RNAcentral describes it as "bacterial SSU rRNA". It matches the Rfam family "Bacterial small subunit ribosomal RNA", at positions 464 to 781 of the family's 1533-position model. The record is from RNAcentral. Lineage: Bacteria; Bacillati; Cyanobacteriota.
AAAAAAUGACGGUACCUGAGGAAUAAGCAUCGGCUAACUCCGUGCCAGCAGCCGCGGUAAUACGGAGGAUGCAAGCGUUAUCCGGAAUGAUUGGGCGUAAAGGGUCCGCAGGUGGCUAUGUAAGUCUGCUGUUAAAGAAUGAGGCUUAACCUCAUCAGAGCGGUGGAAACUACACAGCUAGAGUGCGUUCGGGGUAGAGGGAAUUCCUGGUGUAGCGGUGAAAUGCGUAGAUAUCAGGAAGAACACCAGUGGCGAAAGCGCUCUACUAGGCCGCAACUGACACUGAGGGACGAAAGCUAGGGGAGCGAAAGGGAUUAG